Erinaceus europaeus (western European hedgehog) is the source of this 301-nucleotide unclassified non-coding RNA. Its record names the gene 7SK. It matches the Rfam family "7SK RNA". From Rfam's summary of the family: 7SK was discovered as an abundant small nuclear RNA in the mid-70s but a possible function has only recently been suggested. Two independent studies have found that 7SK RNA binds the CDK9/cyclin T complex (known as elongation factor P-TEFb). P-TEFb activates transcription by phosphorylating the C-terminal domain of RNA polymerase II. The record is from Ensembl. Lineage: Eukaryota; Metazoa; Chordata; Mammalia; Eulipotyphla; Erinaceidae.
AGAUGUGAGGGUGAUCUGGCUGCGACAUCUGUCACCCCAUUGAUCGCCAGGGUUAAUUCAGCUGAUCUGGCUGGCUAGGUGGGUGUCCCUUUCCUCCCUCACCGCUCCAUGUGCGUCCCUCCCAAAGCUGUGCUCUGGGUCGAAGAGGACAGCCUUCCCCAAAUAGGGAUGGACCGGUCUUCAGUUGAGGGUAUGAGUAGCUGCGCUCCCCUGCUAGAUCCUCCAAACAAGCUCUCAAGGAGAAGGAGCUAUUACCUAGUGAAAUGGUACAAGUCAGUUUUCUGAAGUGACACUGCUAUUG